UCGAGAAUUUUUCGCAAUGGGGGAAACCCUGACGGAGCGACGCCGCGUGGAGGAUGAAGGUCUUCGGAUUGUAAACUCCUGUCAUUUGAGAACAAGUGGUUGGGCGGUCACUCGCCCGGCUUUGAUAGUAUCAGAAGAGGAAGAGGCGGCUAACUCUGUGCCAGCAGCCGCGGUAAUACAGAGGCCUCAAGCGUUGUUCGGAUUCAUUGGGCGUAAAGGGUGCGUAGGCGGUCGGGUAAGUCGGAUGUGAAAUCCUGGGGCUCAACCUCAGAACUGCAUUCGAUACUGCCUGGCUGGAGGAUUGGAGAGGAGAGUGGAAUUCACGGUGUAGCAGUGAAAUGCGUAGAGAUCGUGAGGAAGACCAACGGCGAAGGCAGCUCUCUGGACAAUUCCUGACGCUGAGGCACGAAGGCCAGGGGAGCAAACGG
This 428-nucleotide ribosomal RNA is filed under the name uncultured bacterium. Its description in RNAcentral is "bacterial SSU rRNA". It matches the Rfam family "Bacterial small subunit ribosomal RNA", at positions 355 to 775 of the family's 1533-position model. The record is from RNAcentral.